AGGAUGAAGGUAAGGUAAUACUUACUGGAGGUCCGAACCCACGCACGUUGAAAAGUGCGGGGAUGAGGUGUGGGUAGCGGAGAAAUUCCAAUCGAACUUGGAGAUAGCUGGUUCUCUCCGAAAUAGCUUUAGGGCUAGCCUCGAGGUAAAGAGUCAUGGAGGUAGAGCACUGUUUGGACUAGGGGCCCUUCUCGGGUUACCGAAUUCAGAUAAACUCCGAAUGCCAUGUACUUAUACUCGGGAGUCAGACUGCGAGUGAUAAGAUCCGUAGUCGAAAGGGAAACAGCCCAGACCACCAGUUAAGGUCCCCAAAUAUAUGUUAAGUGGAAAAGGAUGUGGGGUUGCUUAGACAACCAGGAUGUUGGCUUAGAAGCAGCCACCAUUGAAAGAGUGCGUAAUAGCUCACUGGUCGAGUGACCCCGCGCCGAAAAUGUACCGGGGCUAAACAUAUUACCGAAACUGUGGAUGAACCUCUUUAGAGGUUCGUGGUAGGAGAGCGUUCUAAGGGCGGUGAAGUCAGACCGGAAGGACUGGUGGAGCGCUUAGAAGUGAGAAUGCCGGUAUGAGUAGCGAAAGAAGGGUGAGAAUCCCUUCCACCGAAUAUCUAAGGUUU
This 613-nucleotide ribosomal RNA is filed under the name Listeria monocytogenes. RNAcentral describes it as "partial 23S ribosomal RNA". It matches the Rfam family "Bacterial large subunit ribosomal RNA", at positions 742 to 1353 of the family's 2925-position model. Lineage: Bacteria; Bacillati; Bacillota; Bacilli; Caryophanales; Listeriaceae. The record is from RNAcentral.